GAUGAAGAACGUAGCGAAAUGCGAUACUUGGUGUGAAUUGCAGAAUCCCGUGAACCAUCGAGUCUUUGAACGCAAGUUGCGCCCGAAGCCAUCAGGUUGAGGGCACGUCUGCCUGGGCGUCACAUAUCGUUGCCCAAUGCCUAUUGCAGUGCAAUAGGAAUUUCUAGGGCGAAUGAUGGCUUCCCGUGAGCGUUGUUGCCUCGCGGUUGGUUGAAAAUCGAGUCCUUGGUGGGUGUGCCAUGGUAGAUGGUGGUCGAGUUAGAACGAUACCGAUCAUGUGCAUGCUCCCCAAAAUAUGGCCUCUAUGACCCACACGCGUCUUUUGACGCUCAUGACGAGACCUCAGGUCAGGCGGGGCUACCCGCUGAAUUUAAGCAUAUCAAUAAGCGGAGGA
Molecule: unclassified non-coding RNA, 394 nt
Filed under: soil metagenome
Description: partial contains 5.8S ribosomal RNA, internal transcribed spacer 2, and large subunit ribosomal RNA
Rfam family: 5.8S ribosomal RNA (bases 1-122)
Source: RNAcentral